Molecule: non-coding RNA, 101 nt
Organism: Helianthus annuus (common sunflower)
Lineage: Eukaryota; Viridiplantae; Streptophyta; Magnoliopsida; Asterales; Asteraceae
Source: Rfam
AUACCAUGAUGAGAGCAAUUACUAAGAAACUCAUUGUAACGAUCCCAUACUUCAGAAAAACGUUCAUCAUCUUCUUGCUCAAAAGCUUAUAUCCUGCUCCU